AACAGGCACACCAGGGUGCUCUACAUGGGAUAGUUCAACAUGACAUCCUGCCUGGCGAGCUCCAACAACAUGGGGUCGUCAAAGAACUUGUUGAUGGAGACAUCCUCGGACAGGCCCUUCCUCCUCCUGGUCUUGACCAUGAACUCCCUGGCCAGAGCAGUAGCUGGCUGUGGUUCUAGCGGCCUGAUGGUGAUGGUCUUGUCCAGGGGGUCACCAGGCACGAUCUGCCAGUGGUGGAAGACUGAGAGGCAGAAGGCCUGCCCCUGGGUGUGGGUGCG
Molecule: ribosomal RNA, 278 nt
Filed under: uncultured eukaryote
Lineage: Eukaryota
Description: partial 18S ribosomal RNA
Source: RNAcentral